GGGGACGUUACGGAUUCGACAGGGGUCACUUGGGUUGGUAUAGCGUGCCGGAGGGUUGUCUCCGUAUCAACACAACAGUUAUAAUAACUGGCAAAACAAACAACUUCGCAGUAGCUGCCUAAUCGCACUCUGCACCUCUCUCAAGCAUCGCCUAUGUGCCUGAUGCAGAGGUUCAACCUUAAGUAGGAUACGACUGACACUUCCGCCUGGAGUCUGUCAGUAAGAGGUCAAUCGGGCUAGUCAUUAAGUAGGUUGUCCAUUGUCAGCUUAAUGAUGAAACCUUAACAAUGCGACUACGCACGUAGAAGUAUCAAUUGCAGGAUCUUUGGACGCGGGUUCGACUCCCGCCGUCUCCAUAC
This 359-nucleotide transfer-messenger RNA is filed under the name Macrococcus carouselicus. RNAcentral describes it as "Standard tmRNA". It matches the Rfam family "transfer-messenger RNA". From Rfam's summary of the family: Bacterial tmRNA, also known as 10Sa RNA or SsrA, is named for its dual tRNA and mRNA-like properties. Its role is to liberate the mRNA from a stalled ribosome. To accomplish this part of the tmRNA is used as a reading frame that ends in a translation stop signal. Lineage: Bacteria; Bacillati; Bacillota; Bacilli; Caryophanales; Staphylococcaceae. The record is from RNAcentral.